MicroRNA precursor from Rhinopithecus bieti (black snub-nosed monkey), 67 nucleotides. NCBI's taxonomy places the organism in Eukaryota, Metazoa, Chordata, Mammalia, Primates, Cercopithecidae. The record is from Ensembl.
AGUUCUAGAUAUGAAGACAAGAAAAAUAUUUGGUUUUCUUGAUUGUCUUCAUAUCUAGAACUGGGCA